This 497-nucleotide ribosomal RNA is filed under the name uncultured bacterium. RNAcentral describes it as "partial 16S ribosomal RNA". It matches the Rfam family "Bacterial small subunit ribosomal RNA", at positions 28 to 507 of the family's 1533-position model. The record is from RNAcentral.
GAUGAACGCUGGCGGCGUGCCUAAUACAUGCAAGUCGAGCGAACGGACGAGAAGCUUGCUUUUCUGAUGUUAGCGGCGGACGGGUGAGUAACACGUGGAUAACCUCCCUAUAAGACUGGGAUAACUUCGGGAAACCGGAGCUAAUAACGGAUAAUAUUUUGAACCGCAUGGUUCAAAAGUGAAAGACGGUCUUGCUGUCACUUAUAGAUGGAUCCGCGCUGCAUUAGCUAGUUGGUAAGGUAACGGCUUACCAAGGCAACGAUGCAUAGCUGACCUGAGAGGGUGAUCGGCCAGACUGGAACUGAGACACGGUCCAGACUCCUACGGGAGGCAGCAGGAGGGAAUCUUCCGAAAUGGGCGAAAGCCUGACGGAGCAACGCCGCGUGAGUGAUGAAGGUCUUCGGAUCGUAAAACUCUGUUAUUAGGGAAGAACAUAUGUGUAAGUAACUGUGCACAUCUUGACGGUACCUAAUCAGAAAGCCACGGCUAACUACGUG